AUGCAAGAAGAGCCCAAGUUCUGUUUCCCCAAAACAAAACUGGAUGACAUGAGCUUCUGUCCAGGACCGGAAAGGGUCACCAGGCUCUUCUUCUGUGUGGCUCUUUAUCUUCUGUGGGCAGGACCUGUGGAGGCCGGGAUCACCCAGGAACCAAGAUACAAGAUCACGGUGACAGGAGAGACAGUGACUCUGGAAUGUCACCAGACUGAUAGCCAUGACUAUAUGUACUGGUACCGACAAGACCUGGGACAUGGGCUGAGGCUGAUCCAUUACUCCUAUGGUGUUGGCAUCAUUGAGAAAGGAGAAAUCCCUGACGGGUACAACGUCUCGAGAUCAAAAACAGAGGAUUUCCCCCUGACCCUGGAGUCUGUUAUCCCCUCCCGGACAUCUGUGUACUUCUGUGCCAGCAGUGACUCCACAGCACUGCACAGCUGCUUCCUCUCUGCACAUAAAGCGUAG
This is a non-coding RNA of Balaenoptera musculus (blue whale), 459 nucleotides long. NCBI's taxonomy places the organism in Eukaryota, Metazoa, Chordata, Mammalia, Artiodactyla, Balaenopteridae. The record is from the annotation of a RefSeq genome assembly.